Nannospalax galili (Upper Galilee mountains blind mole rat) is the source of this 1220-nucleotide long non-coding RNA. RefSeq lists it as uncharacterized. The record is from RefSeq and is a predicted model, not a curated record. The transcript is spliced from 3 exons. NCBI's taxonomy places the organism in Eukaryota, Metazoa, Chordata, Mammalia, Rodentia, Spalacidae.
GGAAGACUGGCUUUUAAGAGACCCGCGAUGGCCUGAACCGGCCCCUCUGAUGUAAAUUUAAGGUUUAAAGUGAUGAGGGAAUAGAAAACAGGAAAAACCUGUCGCCACCGAGUUGAUCUAUCCUAUUCCUGUGAAAGAUGAUUCCUUUGCUGACAUCGGGACCAAUGUUUCCAGGCUUCUCUCACUGACCAUUGAUCGAGGACCAGUGGCUCUUCAGGAAUCCUCCAAGUUUUUGUACCAAAUUGGGGCUGCUGAGGCACCUAGCCCACUGACUGAGCAACUACCAGGAUCUUGAUCUCUUCAGUGUAGACGGCCACUGUGGAACUCCUCCAGUUGCUGAGGCCCCCACCCGACGGCCACUGUGGAACUCCUCCAGUUGCUGAGGCCCCCACCCAGCCUCAAGAAAGAGAAACUACAGGUUCAGCCUCUCAGGUUGGCUUCCAACUAUCAACUUUCCAAGGGCUUGGAUUAUAGGCAUAUGUCAAUAUGCUAGAGUUACAAUAAUGUUGCUUAAAAGUAUUUAAUAUAAGCUAUGACUGUAAAAGGAGAGAAACAGAAACAGCAUGUCCCACAUAAAUCUGAUCACAGAACCCUUUAUUCUGGAAAACCCAUCAAGAAGCCUCAAGUCUUUGGAAAACCUUGAACUAGGAAAUUUAUAACCACAUCAAGAGAUUUUCACCAACCACCUCCUCAGCCUACAACUGGGAUAUGUUCACAGACCAACACUAGUCUGUCACAGUAGCUUUCCAUGUCUCCUAAAAGGCAUAAUUGGCAUUCCACAAUGCAAAAUUUCUCAAGAACAAACAGAGCCCUAGUUCUUUGUGGGUAGAGAAAAAUUCCCAAGCCAACACGACUGCCCCGAGCUAGUGCCUGAGCCUAGACUAAGAGGUCAGUUGGUACCUACAAGCCUCAGAAUCCUAGAGAGAGAAGGACACGAGACAAAAUAGAGUGGUUUGAAUGAAAUGAAAUGAGGUGUGUCUGGUAGACCUACUUGUGGAGAUGAAAAGAUUUCCAUUGAAAUCCUGAGUGAAUGGCACUCAUUUCCACAACCCCCAGUGAAUAAGCUGGAAUACAGCUACACACCCACAUGGAAAUCAGGUCAACUAGAACCUUCAGGGUCCCAUUAACAUCAAGAGGACCACUCAGGAGAAUGCAAGUAGUAAUGUCUGAAGAGGAUCAGUAAUUCACUUUCUACCUAGACUUCCAGUGCUAAAGCUUCU